Syzygium oleosum is the source of this 650-nucleotide long non-coding RNA. RefSeq lists it as uncharacterized. The transcript has 3 exons. The record is from RefSeq and is a predicted model, not a curated record. Lineage: Eukaryota; Viridiplantae; Streptophyta; Magnoliopsida; Myrtales; Myrtaceae.
GUUUUCUAACUCUUGUUCUCAAGCCCACUUCAACGCCUGCAGCAAAGCUAGGGUUUCGGCAUGGAGGGCCGAUCGGACCUGCGCUGCACUCCCGGAACCGUCGAUCAGCUUCCCGGAGGAGUCCCUGCACACCCAAGAGACAGCGCCGGUACUCUCACUCGCCGAGAACGAGCCAUCAACGUUUAUUUUGAGCGUCCCCGAGCGCGGCGGGAUCCAUGACUCUGGGCACACGCUUCAGUAACUACUUUUCUCGGAUCUGGGAUUUUCCGUCUGAAGACAAAUUCAUUCCGCGCCUUCCAGAUUUGCCACAUAAUCGUCGUGAUUAAUUGCAGAUCUGACCAUACUGCUUUUGUCCACGGGCAGAGGAGGAUCAGGUGCUCGAUGGUUUCGCUGUUUAGCCGGCAGAAGGGGCAAGAGGAAUCAGGUACUAUUUUCCGUUUAAGUAGAUUUUUCUUUGGUAGGCAAUGCAUUUUGACAGACAUUCCAUAGGAACAUUUUCAGCUUUGGUGAGCUGUUUGGAUUCCAUAUUAUAUUCCAAAGUUCUGUUGGGGUUUGGUAGGAGGAGGAUGGUUGCUGUAUGCGUGCUGUGGGUUCUGUCUGUCUGAGGACAUUGUAGCCAUUUUUCACUGAGUAUUGACCCGAUUUGGUUC